This 119-nucleotide ribosomal RNA is filed under the name Labrus bergylta (ballan wrasse). The record is from RNAcentral. Lineage: Eukaryota; Metazoa; Chordata; Actinopteri; Labriformes; Labridae.
GCUUACGGCCAUACCACCCUGAACACGCCCGAUCUCGUCCGAUCUCGGAAGCUAAGCAGGGUCGGGCCUGGUUAGUACUUGGAUAGACCGCCUGGGGGGAAUACCAGGUGCUGUAAGCU